Molecule: ribosomal RNA, 521 nt
Filed under: uncultured bacterium
Lineage: Bacteria
Description: partial 16S ribosomal RNA
Rfam family: Bacterial small subunit ribosomal RNA
Source: RNAcentral
GACGAACGCUGGCGGCGUGCCUAAUACAUGCAAGUCGAGCGGGCCUCCGGAGGUGCUUGCACCUCCGGAAGGCCAGCGGCGGACGGGUGAGUAACACGUGGGCAACCUGCCUUUGAGGCCGGGAUAACACCGGGAAACCGGUGCUAAUACCGGAUGCGUCCCCUUUCGCGCCUGCGAGAGGGGAGAAAGACGGUCUUUAAGGCCGUCGCUCAAAGAGGGGCCCGCGGCGCAUUAGCUGGUUGGUGGGGUAAGGGCCUACCAAGGCGACGAUGCGUUGCCGACCUGAGAGGGGGAGCGGCCACACUGGGACUGAGACACGGCCCAGACUCCUGCGGGGGGCAGCAGUAGGGAAUCAUCCGCAAUGGGCGAAAGCCUGACGGUGCAACGCCGCGUGAGUGAGGAAGGUUUUCGGAUCGUAAAGCUCUGUUGUGAGGGAAGAACAGCUUCCGGAGGAAAUGCCGGAGGUUUGCCGGUACCUCACCAGAAAGCCCCGGCUAACUACGUGCCAGCCGCCGCCGUAA